RNAcentral lists this long non-coding RNA (463 nucleotides) under Urocitellus parryii (Arctic ground squirrel). RNAcentral describes it as "lncRNA (ENSUPAG00010012084.1)". The record is from RNAcentral. Lineage: Eukaryota; Metazoa; Chordata; Mammalia; Rodentia; Sciuridae.
CAGACGCACACGCGUCUCGUCCCUGCUGCAGGGGACCCGGCAGCGAUGGGAACCCCCGGUUUUCGGUGGGCUGCACGUUGACCAGCACAGGCUUCACGGAAAACCGCCCACCUGGCGUUUGACCCCAAUCCACAAGGAGAGCGGUCUGGGUCUCUGGGGCAAUGUUUCAUUCAGAGAAGAUGAUUAAACUGAUGCAUCAAGCCAAGGCCUAUGACCGAGUCGGGAACUGCAAGACAAGGGAUGUUAAGACUGUGUGCACAGCUACCUUUGACCUUCAAGUCCCACUGGAGAGGCAUGGGCACGAUCCCCACGAAGAGGAAGCUGCCUGAGUCAGCCCCCGGCGACCUUUCGUAGUCCACCAUUGUCCUUGUGUCUUAGCACUUCAGUCUGCAAUCAAUCAAUGCCCAUUUGGUGCUCAGCAAAUCCCACAGAGAUGUUCAGUUCAAGGACUCCGGACGGACGU